RNAcentral lists this ribosomal RNA (496 nucleotides) under Enterobacter hormaechei. RNAcentral describes it as "bacterial SSU rRNA". It matches the Rfam family "Bacterial small subunit ribosomal RNA", at positions 39 to 519 of the family's 1533-position model. Lineage: Bacteria; Pseudomonadati; Pseudomonadota; Gammaproteobacteria; Enterobacterales; Enterobacteriaceae. The record is from RNAcentral.
GGGCCAAUGCGGCAGGCUACACAUGCAGUCGAACGGUAACAGGAAGCAGCUUGCUGCUUUGCUGACGAGUGGCGGACGGGUGAGUAAUGUCUGGGAAACUGCCUGAUGGAGGGGGAUAACUACUGGAAACGGUAGCUAAUACCGCAUAACGUCGCAAGACCAAAGAGGGGGACCUUCGGGCCUCUUGCCAUCGGAUGUGCCCAGAUGGGAUUAGCUAGUAGGUGGGGUAACGGCUCACCUAGGCGACGAUCCCUAGCUGGUCUGAGAGGAUGACCAGCCACACUGGAACUGAGACACGGUCCAGACUCCUACGGGAGGCAGCAGUGGGGAAUAUUGCACAAUGGGCGCAAGCCUGAUGCAGCCAUGCCGCGUGUAUGAAGAAGGCCUUCGGGUUGUAAAGUACUUUCAGCGGGGAGGAAGGCGAUAAGGUUAAUAACCUUGUCGAUUGACGUUACCCGCAGAAGAAGCACCGGCUAACUCCGUGCCAGCAGCCGCU